GACGAACGCUGGCGGCGUGCUUAACACAUGCAAGUCGAACGAGAGCGUAGAGAAAGCUGCUUUUUCUACAAUCUAGUGGCAAACGGGUGAGUAACGCGUAAACAACCUGCCCUACGGAUGGGGACAACAGCUGGAAACGGCUGCUAAUACCGAAUACGUUCCGAAAGUCGCAUGACUAUCGGAAGAAAGGAUGGCCUCUAUUUAUAAGCUAUCGCCGGAGGAGGGGUUUGCGUCUGAUUAGCUAGUUGGAGGGGUAACGGCCCACCAAGGCGACGAUCAGUAGCCGGUCUGAGAGGAUGAACGGCCACAUUGGAACUGAGACACGGUCCAGACUCCUACGGGAGGCAGCAGUGGGGAAUCUUCCGCAAUGGGCGAAAGCCUGACGGAGCAACGCCGCGUGAGUGAAGACGGCCUUCGGGUUGUAAAGCUCUGUUAUACGGGACGAAUAAUCUUGUGGUUAAUACCCAUGAGAAGUGACGGUACCGUAAGAGAAAGCCACGGCUAACUACGUG
RNAcentral lists this ribosomal RNA (512 nucleotides) under uncultured bacterium. Its description in RNAcentral is "partial 16S ribosomal RNA". It matches the Rfam family "Bacterial small subunit ribosomal RNA", at positions 28 to 507 of the family's 1533-position model. The record is from RNAcentral.